GAGUUUGAUCCUGGCUCAGAAUCAACGCUGGCGGCGUGCCUCAGACAUGCAAGUCGAACGAUUAAACUUUCCUUCGGGAAAGAUAUAAAGUGGCGCACGGGUGAGUAACACGUAGGUAAUCUACCUUUGAGUGGGGAAUAACAAUCGGAAACGAUUGCUAAUACCGCAUAAUGCAGCGGCAUCGUAAGAUGACAGUUGUUAAAGGAGCAAUCCGCUUAAAGAGGAGCCUGCGGCAGAUUAGCUAGUUGGUAAGGUAAUGGCUUACCAAGGCUACGAUCUGUAACCGACCUGAGAGGGUGGUCGGUCACACUGACACUGAAUAACGGGUCAGACUCCUACGGGAGGCAGCAGUCGGGAAUUUUGGGCAAUGGGCGAAAGCCUGACCCAGCAACGCCGCGUGAAGGAUGAAGUAUUUCGGUAUGUAAACUUCGAAAGAAUAGGAAGAAUAAAUGACGGUACUAUUUAUAAGGUCCGGCUAACUACGUGCCAGCAGCCGCGGUAAUACGUAGGGACCAAGCGUUGUUCGGAUUUACUGGGCGUAAAGGGCGCGUAGGCGGCAGUUCAAGUCAGUUGUGAAAUCUCCGAGCUUAACUCGGAACGGUCAACUGAUACUGUUUUGCUAGAGUGCAGAAGGGGCAAUCGGAAUUCUUGGUGUAGCGGUGAAAUGCGUA
RNAcentral lists this ribosomal RNA (671 nucleotides) under uncultured bacterium. RNAcentral's name for it is "bacterial SSU rRNA". It matches the Rfam family "Bacterial small subunit ribosomal RNA", at positions 9 to 692 of the family's 1533-position model. The record is from RNAcentral.